Molecule: long non-coding RNA, 494 nt
Filed under: Homo sapiens (human)
Lineage: Eukaryota; Metazoa; Chordata; Mammalia; Primates; Hominidae
Description: HSALNT0145864
Source: RNAcentral
AGACUUCAGUUUCUGUUCUCUAUCGAUUUUUCAGCCAUGUCUGUCGACUUUGAUUUUCUCUGCUAAAAUAACUUGUGGGCAAAUUUCCACUGUUCGCUAUAGUUGUGUCUUGUCUUCAGUUAUGCUUGGAGUCCCCUUUAAGAGAUGGUGUUCCCCCCACCCCCCCAUGCUGAAAAAUUCAUCCCUCAGGUUGAUAGCACAGCAGGCAGGCAGGCAUUUUCCUUUCUGUCUUUCAUGUAAUGACCGUGAAAUCCCUUCCAUAAGAACAUAGAGGUUUUGUUCUGUUCUGUUUCUAUUUUCAGAACAAUAAGUCUCCAAUGCACCACCACCCACCGGAAAAAGAGCACACAGUGACUGACAAGGAACCCUGGGUGGCAGGUACUAUUGGCACCAUUUUCCAGAUAAAGAAAAUGAAGUUCUAAGCAGUCAAAUGACAUGUCAAGAUCACCCAACUGAUAUGAAAGGCAAGAUUCAAGGAUCACACCAACUAGAGG